RNAcentral lists this ribosomal RNA (274 nucleotides) under uncultured bacterium. RNAcentral describes it as "partial 16S ribosomal RNA". It matches the Rfam family "Bacterial small subunit ribosomal RNA", at positions 523 to 796 of the family's 1533-position model. The record is from RNAcentral.
CUACGGAGGGUGCAAGCGUUACUCGGAAUCACUGGGCGUAAAGCGCGCGCAGGCGGGCUGAUAAGUUGGAUGUGAAAGCCUACGGCUCAACCGUAGAACUGCAUCCAAAACUGUCAGCCUAGAGUCUGGGAGGGGAAGAUGGAAUUAGUUGUGUAGGGGUAAAAUCCGUAGAGAUAACUAGGAAUACCAAAAGCGAAGGCGAUCUUCUGGAACAGUACUGACGCUGAGGCGCGAAAGCGUGGGGAGCAAACAGGAUUAGAAACCCUAGUAGUCC